RNAcentral lists this transfer RNA (87 nucleotides) under bacterium. RNAcentral's name for it is "tRNA-Leu". The record is from RNAcentral.
GCCUCCAUGGUGGAAUAGGUAGACACAAGAGACUUAAAAUCUCUCGCUCAUUAGGGCAUCCCAGUUCGAGUCUGGGUGGAGGCACCA